GAAAUGCACAAAAGACAGAAGAAGAGUACAGACCAUGUGUAUAAAGGUUGUUUCGGUCGGACACGCUCAGGCGCCAUAAAAGAGUUACGCUGUGUGUCACAUGAUCGUUUCCAGAGAUGCAGAUAGACAUCCACACGGAGAUGAAAUGGUCGUCGUUUACAGAUUUAUUCACUCUCUGACCCGUUUUCAAAAAGUACUGUUUACAGUCACCUGAAACGCCGAUACGACUAAAAACUUUUGCGUUUACUCCUGAAUUAGUUUCCAUGGUGACGGGUUGAUACCGCCUUCAGACAGACUUUGCAGCGGGGAGUGGUUUGCUCUUCAUCUGAAACUGUGAAGUCGUACCAAUUCAACACGACUGACUCGCUCUUGUCCUAUUUAACCACGAAAUUAUCACCUUCUUUUACAAACACCAUGUUUGUUUACACUGGUGUGUGUGGGAACUGGGGAGCGCUCCUGCAGGAAGGGGGAGGAGCCUACGGUGGCCUGGAGGCGCGAGACAUGAUAGAGAGGAAAAUCAAUUUGAUGAUUUUAAUUUUUUUAACAUCGUCAUAAUCAA
Molecule: non-coding RNA, 559 nt
Organism: Xyrichtys novacula (pearly razorfish)
Lineage: Eukaryota; Metazoa; Chordata; Actinopteri; Labriformes; Labridae
Source: the annotation of a GenBank genome assembly